GGAGGGGGCAAGCGUUAUUCGGAUUUACUGGGCGUAAAGCGCACGUAGGUGGCAUGGUAAGUCAAAGGUGAAAGCCCUCGGCUCAACCGAGGAAUUGCCUUUGAAACUGCCUUGCUUGAGUCCGGGAGGGGGGAGCGGAAUUCCCAGUGUAGCGGUGAAAUGCGUAGAUACUGGGAGGAACACCGGUGGCGAAGGCGGCUCCCUGGACCGGUACUGACACUGAGGUGCGAAAGCGUGGGUAGCAAACAGGAUUAGAUACCCUGGGUAGUCCACGCCGUAAACGAUGGGCACUAGGUGCAGCGGGUGUCGACCCCCCCUGCUGUGCCGUAGUUAACCGCAUUAAGUGCCCCGCCUGGGGAGUACGGUCGCAAGGCUG
RNAcentral lists this ribosomal RNA (376 nucleotides) under uncultured organism. RNAcentral describes it as "partial 16S ribosomal RNA". It matches the Rfam family "Bacterial small subunit ribosomal RNA", at positions 527 to 896 of the family's 1533-position model. The record is from RNAcentral.